GAGGCUGUCCAGAUGGGGACAGAUUCCCUGGGGAGACCGACCACACUCCUGCUGGCAGAUUGCUUUCCUUGGCCUACUGCCCCCUUCUGCGGGGACUUCCAGACACACCCUCACAAUCAUCAAUACUUACCUGAGACUCCUCUUGGCGACCCCCACCUGUAAUUCCUCUUCCAAACAGUCCUGUCUGAAGGUGUUCGACUGCCUUUUUUCAAAGGCUUGUGGUCUUCUGCAUCACUGGAAGAAAAGAGAAAACAUUUUCAUCAAGGCUGGUAUUUAGAUUCAUUUGGAUUUUUACACACAUAAUCAUAUCAGUUAUGAAUAAUGACCAUCCAAAAAGGGGCACCCUGGAAGCACCCAUUCCAGCUUAAUGGCCACAGUGGAUGAGAGAGAAUGUACGGCAACAUUGGCUGUGCUUGAAAGAAGAGAAGGAAGGAAGAGGAUGCUCUGUCCACAGAGUCUUUCCAGGAAAAGCUAUUCAAAGGCAGUUCAAGAUCAUUUUAAGACUAGUUUUCAAAAAGUGGUGUGAUGGGGGCUGGCCCGGUGGUGUAGCGGUUAAGUUUGCACGUUCUGCUUUGGCGGCACGGGGUUCACUGGUUCGGAUCCUGGGCACGGACCUACUCACUGCUCAUCAAGCCAUGCUGAGGCAGUGUCCCACAUAGAAGAGCUACAACUCUACAACUAUGAUACACAACUAUGUACCGGGGGCUUGGGGAGAAAAAAGAAAAAGAGGAAGAUUGGCAAUAGAUGUUAGUGCAGGG
This is a long non-coding RNA of Diceros bicornis minor, 758 nucleotides long. RefSeq lists it as uncharacterized. The record is from RefSeq and is a predicted model, not a curated record. The transcript is spliced from 3 exons. NCBI's taxonomy places the organism in Eukaryota, Metazoa, Chordata, Mammalia, Perissodactyla, Rhinocerotidae.